CUGAGGGGAAUCAGAGGCGUAAAGUCGGUCGCACGACGGGUUCGGGAGUGACAGAUCCAAAUAGCCGGUGCAGGGGUGAACA
Mycobacterium sp. GA-2829 is the source of this 82-nucleotide non-coding RNA. The record is from Rfam. NCBI's taxonomy places the organism in Bacteria, Bacillati, Actinomycetota, Actinomycetes, Mycobacteriales, Mycobacteriaceae.